This 385-nucleotide unclassified non-coding RNA is filed under the name fungal sp. RNAcentral describes it as "partial internal transcribed spacer region". The stretch from base 1 to 46 matches the Rfam family "Eukaryotic small subunit ribosomal RNA", at positions 1786 to 1831 of the family's 1831-position model. The record is from RNAcentral. Lineage: Eukaryota; Fungi.
AAGUCGUAACAAGGUUUCCGUAGGUGAACCUGCGGAAGGAUCAUUACAACACUUACUGUAUCCACAGCCUACCGUCUUUUCGUGAACAUUUGUUCUGCCGUUUGCGUCGUCGUUUUGGGGUGGUGCUGUCCUGGCGUCUUGUCUAGGGGACCCGAUGAGUGUCGGGAGGUUCCCGAGUCCGGGCAGUGCGUUCUCUCCGCAAGGGGAGGCCUCUGACUGCAAACGUGUGUCUCACUUCCCCACUCUUCAAAACUAUUAUUAUCACCUUGUACCUUUUCUAUAUGAACUGACCUCUCGAGAAGGCCGCUGGCUUCACGCCGGCCCUUCUUGCAAGACUAUACGUAAAAGAGAAGAACAACUCUUAACAACGGAUAUCUUGGCUCUC